CGGAGUUAGCCGGUGCUUAUUCAUAUAAUACCGUCAUUAUCUUCUUAUAUAAAAGGAGUUUACGCACCGAAAUGUGUCAUCCUCCACGCGGCGUUGCUGCAUCAGACUUUCGUCCAUUGUGCAAUAUUCCCCA
Molecule: ribosomal RNA, 133 nt
Filed under: uncultured bacterium
Lineage: Bacteria
Description: partial 16S ribosomal RNA
Source: RNAcentral